RNAcentral lists this ribosomal RNA (407 nucleotides) under uncultured bacterium. RNAcentral's name for it is "partial 16S ribosomal RNA". It matches the Rfam family "Bacterial small subunit ribosomal RNA", at positions 28 to 526 of the family's 1533-position model. The record is from RNAcentral.
GAUGAACGCUGGCGGCAGGCCUAACACAUGCAAGUCGAGCGGAGCGGCGGACGGGGGAGUAAUGCAUAGGAAUCUGCCUGGUAGUGGGGGAUAACGUCCGGAAACGGGCGCUAAUACAGCAUAGUAUAAGAUGAGGGUAGGUGGGACUGGGUAGUUGGUUGGGUAAAGGCUUACCGAGGCGACGAUCCGUAACUGGUCUGAGCGGAUGAUCAGUCAAACGGGAACUUAGACACGGUCCAAACUCCUACGCGAGGCAGCAGUGGGGAAUAUUGGAAAAUGGGCGAAAGCCUGAUCGAGCGAUGCCGCGUGUGUGAAGAAGGUCUGCGGAGUGUAAAGUUCUUUAAGUUGGGAGGCGUUACCAACAGAAUAAGCACCGGCUAACUACGUGCCAGCAGCCGCGGUAAUUC